Molecule: transfer RNA, 64 nt
Filed under: Ovis aries (sheep)
Lineage: Eukaryota; Metazoa; Chordata; Mammalia; Artiodactyla; Bovidae
Rfam family: tRNA
About the family: Transfer RNA (tRNA) molecules are approximately 80 nucleotides in length.
Source: Rfam by way of RNAcentral
CCAUAGCUCCGGGGUUAGAGCACUGGUCUUGUAAAUCAGGGGUCACGAGUUCAAAUCUCGCUGG